Molecule: ribosomal RNA, 576 nt
Filed under: uncultured bacterium
Lineage: Bacteria
Description: bacterial SSU rRNA
Rfam family: Bacterial small subunit ribosomal RNA
Source: RNAcentral
CCUACGGGAGGCAGCAGUGAGGAAUAUUGGACAAUGGGCGCAAGCCUGAUCCAGCCAUGCCGCGUGCAGGAAGAAGCAUCUAUGGUGUGUAAACUGCUUUUGUACAGGAAGAAACACUCCCUCGUGAGGGAGCUUGACGGUACUGUAAGAAUAAGGACCGGCUAACUCCGUGCCGGCAGCCGCGGUAAUACGGAGGGUCCGAGCGUUAUCCGGAAUCAUUGGGUUUAAAGGGUCCGUAGGCGGUUUAAUAAGUCAGUGGUGAAAUCUGGUCGCUCAACGAUCAAACGGCCAUUGAUACUGUUAGACUUGAAUUAUAAGGAAGUAACUAGAAUAUGUAGUGUAGCGGUGAAAUGCUUAGAUAUUACAUGGAAUACCAAUUGCGAAGGCAGGUUACUACUUAUGGAUUGACGCUGAUGGACGAAAGCGUGGGGAGCGAACAGGAUUAGAUACCCUGGUAGUCCACGCCGUAAACGAUGGAUACUAGCUGUUCGGAGCAAUCUGAGUGGCUAAGCGAAAGUGAUAAGUAUCCCACCUGGGGAGUACGUUCGCAAGAAUGAAACUCAAAGGAAUUGACGG